UAGGAGGGAAGAUGAUCGUCCCACCCUCUCAUAGCCACAGGACUCCGGAUCAUGAAGGUAUGAGGCCUCAAAUUAGACAGGAAGUCGAGGGAUAGGGGAUGUUCCCUCGGCAAGAGGGUGCCACAUGGAAGGCCUAAACGGGGAGUGUGAAAGGCC
Molecule: non-coding RNA, 156 nt
Organism: Pan troglodytes (chimpanzee)
Lineage: Eukaryota; Metazoa; Chordata; Mammalia; Primates; Hominidae
Source: Rfam